UGAGGAAUAUUGGUCAAGGGGGGCAACCCUGAACCAGCCAAGUCGCGGGAAGGAUGAAGGUCUUAUGGAUUGUAAACUUCUUUUACACGGGAAUAAAGCGGGGGACGUGUCCCUCUUUGCAUGUACCGUGUGAAUAAGGAUCGGCUAACGCCGUGCCAGCAGCCGCGGUAAUACGGAGGAUCCGAGCGUUAUCCGGAUGUAUUGGGGUUAAAGGGUGCGCAGGCGGGAUGUUAAGUCGGCGGUGAAAUUUUGCAGCUCAACUGUAAAAGUGCCUUCGAUACUGGCCUUCUUGAGUGUGUAUGAAGUAGGCGGAAUUUGUGGUGUCGCGUUGAUAUGCUUAGAUAUCACGCGUAACUCCGAUUGCG
RNAcentral lists this ribosomal RNA (365 nucleotides) under uncultured bacterium. RNAcentral's name for it is "bacterial SSU rRNA". It matches the Rfam family "Bacterial small subunit ribosomal RNA", at positions 355 to 717 of the family's 1533-position model. The record is from RNAcentral.